RNAcentral lists this transfer RNA (87 nucleotides) under Ardenticatenales bacterium. RNAcentral describes it as "tRNA-Ser". It matches the Rfam family "tRNA". From Rfam's summary of the family: Transfer RNA (tRNA) molecules are approximately 80 nucleotides in length. The record is from RNAcentral. Lineage: Bacteria; Bacillati; Chloroflexota; Ardenticatenia; Ardenticatenales.
GGAGGGAUGCCGGAGUGGCCAAACGGCGCCGCCUUGAAAGCGGAUGGGGCGGUAACGCCCUCGGGGGUUCGACUCCCUCUCCCUCCG